Pseudopipra pipra is the source of this 2276-nucleotide long non-coding RNA. RefSeq lists it as uncharacterized. Lineage: Eukaryota; Metazoa; Chordata; Aves; Passeriformes; Pipridae. The record is from RefSeq and is a predicted model, not a curated record. The transcript is spliced from 3 exons.
CUAUGACCCAUGGGAGGGAAGCAGCCCUUUCUCACACAGUUCAGGGCAGGAUUUGGCUCCUGAUUCGUGGUUUCUUUUCCAGGCAGUAGGAGGGUUUUUAAGCAGAUCUCCUUAUCUGGGUGCUGCUGCUUUGAUGUAAGGAGUGAGAUAAGGAAUGGGAACAUCCCCAGUCCUGCCUGUGAGGACCCAAAAGCUCCUCACCCCAACCCCCCACUGCCCCAGCACCACACGAGAGGCUGCUCAGCUUGUGCCAACACCAGUCCAGAAGGGUGGCAAGCACUGGUUCCCCGUGGGUGCUGGCACAGGCGCCUCGGGGGGAUGCUCAGUGCCUCUGUCACCGAAACCCCGGCACAGCCAGAGCCUUCCCUGGGAAUGGGGAGGGGUUUGGGUAACAGUGGACUGGCCCACAUGCUCUGGGGCCCACGGGAGCUAUUCCAGCCCGGCUGGGGGUGUUGGCACCCGGGCUGGGGGCCCAGCCCUGCCUGGGCUGUGCCCAUGUCCCAGGCACGGCUCAGCCCUCGGGGCUCCCGGGGGACCCCCAGCCCCUCGUCCUCCCCCGCAGCAGCUCCGGGGGCUGUUGUUCCUCUGGCACUUCCCAGGGCUGCAGCUUUACAUUACUUUGACAAGAAACAAUUUUUUGUUGCCGAGGACUCUCCCCAGUGCUCGGUUUGAUGGGGCCGCUGGGGUGCGGAGCAGUUACAGCUCCACAUUUGUGUAAAAUAGUCGGAUCCACAAACCCAGCAGCGUUCCAGGGAUUGGACCCAAGGGUUGGCUCUAUAAUUUAACGCUGAUUUGGCUUGUGUUGAACAAGUGGUGCCCGUUUGAAGAAAGCUCAUAAAAUAUUUGAAAUUACUGCUGUCAGGAAUUAAUGACACAUUUCCCUGAGCCGUUUCAGCAGCUCUGGGGCUCCUGUUCCGUGUUCCACUGGCAGAGGUUGUUGAUUUCACAGGCAAAAGAAAAGCAGAACAAUGUAUGGAUGAAGGCGAUUGUAUUCAUGUGAUUUAGGGUAAUAAUUUGAGAGAGAGGGAAUAAAUUGUGAGACACAGAGCCUGUAAUUCCGCAGCAUAAUUUUAAUAUUGCUACCAAAAUUGGCUUCAUCUCAGUUACUUUAGCCCUUAGAAAGUUUGAACAGAUGGCAGCUCUUGCUCUAACUGUAUAUCUAAUUUAGCUUGCAUGACUUUUUGAUUAUGUAUGUUUGAAUUAAUGGGUUUCUCUCUGUUUGUUACAUCAUCGGGUUAAUGGUGUUUAAAAGACAAUGAUUUGUAUCAAUUCUCUGUUGGUCAACAGUCAAAAGUAAAUGAAAUUUACUACCAAAAAAAAUGGUGCUGAACAUGAAAGAACUCUACAAGGGAUAAAUUGAUCCUUGCCAAAUUAGGCACAGAUCUUUGCUGCCAAACCUACGUAGCCAGGGAAGAGAAGGGUGACUGGAGGAGUGACUGAGCACUGUAUCACAGAUGUCACCACUGCCUCAGUGUUUCAGAAGGAAUUGCUUCGUGGAAAGAGCUGUUAAACACUGGCAGGGGCUGCCCAGGGAGGUUUGGAGUGCCCAGCCCUGGAGGUGUCCCAGGAAGGCCUGGCCGUGGCAAUUAAUAAAUCACCUUUGUUAAGAGCAGUUGUGGCCCCAGUCCCUCAGGCUUUGCAGCAGUUUGUAGGGAACAGACCCAAAUUCCAAUCUUACCUCUAAAGUUCUAACAGGUUCUGUUAGAGAGAUACUGGACGGAAAGGAUUCCACGGAAUUCCAAGACUGCACAAGGAAUAACAGGAGGUUUUCCAUGAAGAAGUUCUUUUUUCCCCUCCUUUCUCCGGGGCUGUAGGACCCACUGUCCCUUUGGCUGCUGUGGGGCUGCUGAUCAGCUCCUCUGGCUUUAAAGCCUUGCUGCAUUUUGAUGCUAAUGAGCUGGGAACCUCUAAUUAAUGUGUAUGGUUCAUCCUUACACCUGUCAUUUAGCCUUUAAAUGGAAAGGUUCCGGGUGUGUAUGGGCUAUCCAGGUAGUGGGUAUUUCUCUUUAUUCGAUUAUAAUUAUUCUGUCUAGAAGGUGCCCCUCUGUCAAGGCACUUGGGAAGAUCCACAGGCUGUCAAGAAGAGCAUGAACCUGUAAAUGCAAAUCUUGAAAGAGGCAGGGUGGCCGUUUUCCUCCCCGGCAGACACCGAGGGCUGUUUUCCCUGGAGCUCCGGUGUUUGCUCAGAGCAAAGACAUCUGCUAACCGUGACCCAGCCAGCUCUGCUCCUGCAUAACGAGAACACGCAGCUCACUCCAACAGAAACUUUACUUUUA